Panicum virgatum (switchgrass) is the source of this 986-nucleotide long non-coding RNA. RefSeq lists it as uncharacterized. The record is from RefSeq and is a predicted model, not a curated record. Lineage: Eukaryota; Viridiplantae; Streptophyta; Magnoliopsida; Poales; Poaceae. The transcript is spliced from 4 exons.
UCCAUAGGGUCACCCUAAAAAAAAAAAAACUCCAUCAUAGGGUCGAGUGGUUCGACCCACCCCUCGCGACUUCCUUCAGGCGAGCUGCUCGGAGCGCCGCCCUCUUCUCGGGGGCCGCCACCACCGGCGGCGUGGGACGCGAGCUGGAGGUGCGCAGGGGCUUCAGCCACCUGAAUCGCGCGCACGCGAGCAGGUCCCUCGGCCGGCCGGUAGAAAGCUUUCACUCCUUGGCGAUUGGCAUGGCGAGCCAGGACUCAGAGGGCAGGUAGCUCAUCGCAAGAUCUUGAAUGGGGUAGGUCGAUUUGGGAGGUAAUUGCCGUGGAAUCUAGGAGGAGAUGGCAGUGUUCUCUGAAUCACGGGGUUGUACUGAUGCAUAGAAUAGGUGCACACCUCUAAUGUUGUUUGUUCUUAGCAUUUUUAAUACGGGUCCAACUGGUAGCUGUUGAAUUGCUGAUAGCUAGUAAUAGAAAUCUGCUCUUGUCAGGCUGCCCGUCAGUGAUAUGUGCCGGAGACCGACAAAAUCAGCAGCGCGUGUCAUCCACCUUACUCCAAAAACUAUGGAAACACUGAUAUGCUUGCAAGAUUGGAUGCGAGUCUCGGGUUCAUCCAAAUUUUGCAUGGAAGUGAUUGAGGAUUUUGACGAGUUAUCUGAUCCAGAAAAAUGACAUGCUUAAAUAAAGACAGUGCUUCAUAUACAUUUCUGUAACUCAGACACGCUGCUUUUGUUCAGACAACUGCAAGUGGCAUGGCUAUAGGAACAUGGAAGGUCGCAGAGUCUAUGUGGAGGAGCAUUUUGAGCAGGAACAAAAGUUAUCAUAGAUGUAUGGAGUAAAAAUUCUAAUUGUUGGAUGAAUUAGCACUUGCUGCCUGAUCUUUUCUGAAUGUUAACUGUUCUGAAAGUGUCUUUGUUUCUGAUCUUGUAUUCUCAUGGUUGUUGGAAGCAGAUCAGGUUGGAUUAGCAUAGCCUUUAUAUUUACGUAGCACAA